Molecule: long non-coding RNA, 755 nt
Organism: Corylus avellana
Lineage: Eukaryota; Viridiplantae; Streptophyta; Magnoliopsida; Fagales; Betulaceae
Source: RefSeq, a predicted model, not a curated record
CAGAUUUCCUCUCCUGCUCUCACUCGUUCUCUCAAGCCUUGGAUGCUUUGGCCGAUCAGAGCUUCCAAUCUGGCUGACAAUCAAAAAUAAAUUUGGGUCAACUCAACAUUGGGCCUCAAGUACGGAUAGAGCCUCUAUUUUUGAUUGGCAAGGCAAAACUCAUUUUGAACAUUUUUGGAUUGUUUUGAGGUUUCAUCCAAAAUGGGUGGAUCAUAUGGAAAGUGCAAAACCGAAGAAAAAAUUAAUCGUGAUAAAUCUAGGGGGAGACAAGGCUUUGCAUAGUGGGAGACGAGGCCUCGCACGGAGCUUUUGUAGACUUGGAGCGACCAAUAGGCCGGAAGGCUGAAAAGGACAAACGAAAGACUAAAGAAAAAAAUGAAUCUGAGAAUUGUUGUGAUACUAAAUGAGAUGAAGGAAGACAAGAAGAUGAAAAUAAAACUUUUUGAGGAAGCACGUGAUCUUGUUAAAGAGAUGUUGCGCCUCAAGUAAGAGAGUGCGCCUUAGAGAAAAAAACACUUCGAUUGGAACAAGUGAGAGAGGAAAAGGAACUUAUGAUGAUGGAUAAAAGUGCUAUGGAUGAAAUUCAACAAGAAUAUGUUCGCCGAGGCGAAAUGGCAAUCUUUGAAGGCCAAAAUAUUAUUCUUUGUUUUUAAGUUCUUUACUUUUGUAGACACUGAUUUUAGUGUAAGUUUUGUCAUAUUUUAUGACUUCUAUGGUUUAUGUUAUUGCUCUUAUUCACAAAGACAUUAUCUUUC